Non-coding RNA from Hydra vulgaris (swiftwater hydra), 896 nucleotides. The record is from RefSeq and is a predicted model, not a curated record. NCBI's taxonomy places the organism in Eukaryota, Metazoa, Cnidaria, Hydrozoa, Anthoathecata, Hydridae.
UAUGAAUAUUUAAUUACUUUUAUUUUCAUUUAAAACAAUUUGAGCUCGUCUAGAGGCGAACGCAGGGGUUGUGAUGUCCGCAAGCAGUCGUGUGUAAAUAAUUUAUAUUACUAUUAAAUAAUAAAUUUUUAUUGUCUGAAUAACUAAUAAAAUUUAGUUUUUUUAGUUGUUAAUAACUUUAAUACAAGUAAAAGAUAUGAGGGAACCAAAGAUCGAUCUUUGAGGUGCCCCAAGAAGACCUAACAGUUUUGUUUCAGACCACCGGUAAAGAAGAGCAUUAAGGUAUAAAAGUCAAAAGCGAAAGUUGUUUGGUCGACUAGUUCAAAGUUAGUUCAAAGUUUUAUUAAAAUCUUUCAGCUUUAAAAGAAAAAUAAACAUAUAGAUAGCAAAUAGAUGUUGUGCUUAGCACAACAAGGUCCGGGUAUCCCAUCUUUAUAUGUGUGGGUUUAAAGUAAAGUUUGCUAUAACACCUAAACGAUGAGCAUUUUUAGUUCAACUUUGAGUAUUACAUAAAUCUUAUAACUAUAUAUUCAUUUUUAGUUAAAUAACAAUCAUUUAACAAAAAAAAACUCAAAAAGCCUUUGAGACUAAUUACUAUCAAAAGAUCUAAAAUAUUUAGCAUUUAGCAACUAGUGGUGUGUUAAAAUCAGCUUCUUAACAAAGUUAACGAUUGCAACUUCUUUACGAAAUUAACAAUUGCAACGGUCUUAACGAAGUCAACGGUUGAAACUACUUAAUGAAGUAAUUCCUGUUAAAACUUUUUUUCUCUAAAUAUGACACUAAAAGUUAUAAAAUAAGAAAUCAUCAGUGAAAAAAUGUGUUUCUACCUGUGCUGAUUAUAUCUCAUUUGUUAAUUAAGUUUAAUGCUUUUAUUAAUUAACAGAGAAGUAGAUAAA